This 248-nucleotide ribosomal RNA is filed under the name uncultured bacterium. RNAcentral describes it as "partial 16S ribosomal RNA". It matches the Rfam family "Bacterial small subunit ribosomal RNA", at positions 523 to 769 of the family's 1533-position model. The record is from RNAcentral.
AUACGUAGGGGAGCUAGCGUUAGUCGGAAUUACUGGGCGUAAAGCGUGCGCAGGCGGAUUGUUAAGCAAGAUGUGAAAUCCCCGGGCUUAACCUGGGAAUGGCAUUUUGAACUGGCAGUCUAGAGUGCGUCAGAGGGGGGUGGAAUUCCACGUGUAGCAGUGAAAUGCGUAGAGAUGUGGAGGAACACCAAUGGCGAAGGCAGCCCCCUGGGAUGACACUGACGCUCAUGUACGAAAGCGUGGGUAGC